RNAcentral lists this long non-coding RNA (203 nucleotides) under Pelobates cultripes (western spadefoot toad). The record is from RNAcentral. Lineage: Eukaryota; Metazoa; Chordata; Amphibia; Anura; Pelobatidae.
GUAACCCCAAGUUAAUGGAACUUCCCCAAAUCCGGGAAUCUCCCACGACUGUGCACUUACGACUUAGUAUAAACAACAGAUAAGCUAUUCAGACUUUAAGAUGCCAUCUUGAACUAAGUCAGGAAAAUUUCCAUGACGUAUGCACCCUUUAGUUAUGGCCUUGUAUGUUUGCCAAGUUAAGGGAGGUCCUAAAAUGAAUAAAG